This 253-nucleotide ribosomal RNA is filed under the name uncultured bacterium. RNAcentral's name for it is "partial 16S ribosomal RNA". It matches the Rfam family "Bacterial small subunit ribosomal RNA", at positions 524 to 776 of the family's 1533-position model. The record is from RNAcentral.
UACGAAGGGGGCUAGCGUUGCUCGGAAUUACUGGGCGUAAAGCGUGCGUAGGCGGUUUUUUAAGUCAGACGUGAAAUCCCCGGGCUUAACCUGGGAAUGGCAUUUGGGACUGCAAGGCUGGAGUUUGGCAGAGGAGACUGGAAUUCCCGGUGUAGCGGUGAAAUGCGCAGAUAUCGGGAGGAACACCGGUGGCGAAGGCGGUUCUCUGGGCCUGUACUGACGCUGAGGAGCGAAAGCGUGGGGAGCGAACAGG